UACGGGGGGGGCAAGCGUUGUUCGGAAUUACUGGGCGUAAAGGGCGCGUAGGCGGCCUGCUAAGUCGAACGUGAAAUCCCCGGGCUCAACCCGGGAACUGCGUCCGAGACUGGCGGGCUUGAAUCCGGGAGAGGUGAGUGGAACUGCGAGUGUAGAGGUGAAAUUCGUAGAUAUUCGCAAGAACACCAGUGGCGAAGGCGGCUCACUGGCCCGGUACUGACGCUGAGGUGCGAAAGCGUGGGGAGCAAACAGG
RNAcentral lists this ribosomal RNA (253 nucleotides) under uncultured bacterium. Its description in RNAcentral is "partial 16S ribosomal RNA". It matches the Rfam family "Bacterial small subunit ribosomal RNA", at positions 524 to 776 of the family's 1533-position model. The record is from RNAcentral.